This 467-nucleotide ribosomal RNA is filed under the name uncultured bacterium. Its description in RNAcentral is "partial 16S ribosomal RNA". It matches the Rfam family "Bacterial small subunit ribosomal RNA", at positions 28 to 506 of the family's 1533-position model. The record is from RNAcentral.
GACGAACGCUGGCGGCGUGCUUAGCACAUGCAAGUCGAACGGAAAGGCCCUGCUUUUGUGGGGUGCUCGAGUGGCGAACGGGUGAGUAACACGUGAGUAACCUGCCCUUGACUUUGGGAUAACUUCAGGAAACUGGGGCUAAUACCGGAUAGGAGCUCCUGCUGCAUGGUGGGGGUUGGAAAGUUUCGGCGGUUGGGGAUGGACUCGCGGCUUAUCAGCUUGUUGGUGGGGUAGUGGCUUACCAAGGCUUUGACGGGUAGCCGGCCUGAGAGGGUGACCGGCCACAUUGGGACUGAGAUACGGCCCAGACUCCUACGGGAGGCAGCAGUGGGGAAUAUGGCACAAUGGGCGGAAGCCUGAUGCAGCAACGCCGCGUGCGGGAUGACGGCCUUCGGGUUGUAAACCGCUUUCGCCUGUGACGAAGCGUGAGUGACGGUAAUGGGUAAAGAAGCACCGGCUAACUACGU